CGCCUUCCCCCGCGCGUCCCGGCCGGUGGUCGGCGGCGGCGCGCACCUCGGGGCAGGGCCGCGGCAGCGGCUCCGCCGGUUUCUCCCAGGGAAGAAACCCCCAGCCGCGGGACGGGUUUCUCCGCGCCGGCCGCGGCUGUGCGGCUCUGCGGCCACAGGGGUGUGAUUGAAAAGGAAGCUGGGAAGGCGGAGGCAGAUUGUACUUCCUAUGCUGAGAAGCAUGGACGGACUCAUCCUAUACACAAUAGACAGGCAGAGGGCCCAGAAAGUGUUUUGGAAAAGAGAGAAAGACCUAAAACCUGAGAAUGUGUGGAUACCUUUGGCUAGAAAGAUGAAUAUGAGAAGAGUCUCUGAGAAACAGACAUGGCAGUAUUUCAGGGAAAAAGAAGAGGCAAAGCUUGAUGCAAGAAGAACUUUGAAACAUUUGGUAGAGCCACAUGCGACUGAUCAAAAUAUUCACCCUAAGCACACAAAACAUGAACGUUAAGAUUUGUUGGAGACAGGACUCACUUGCAGCAGAACAUGGCUUUAUCAGAACUCAGGAGACCCUUCCAAUAGAAGUUGUUCUACCAGCACAAACACUUUGAAGACCUUAAUCCACAUUUCUGCAAUAAAUGAAAAGAGUCAAGAUUCAAUGUUUUACAACCAGUUCCUCAGCGAAAGUGUGCUGCAUGACUUCAGGUAGAACACAAGUUACACACCUGCUUAACUGUUAAGGCACAACUCUCUACGCGAAUUACCCAAAACACAUGAGCGCCCGAGUCAUCACCCGCUUGUUCCAGACCUUCGGCGUUUUUCUAGCCGUGUCAGCGGCCACCCCGGCGGAUGCGGAUUUGUCUCUGACUGAGGUGCUGCUGACUGGUUCACUGCCUGGUAGAUGGUGUCUCUUAAGACCUGAUUUAACCUGAAGCAUACACUUUCUCAGGAGGUCUGCAACAGGGCUGAAGAAUUGCAAAUAUUGCAUCCUUUCCCUCCUGUCAUUUGCUUCCACACGACUGCAGUGCCUGUGCUGUGCUCUCAGCUCACUCACCCUGAAAUGCUCCUUGUGAUGGAGAUUUGUACUGAGUUGGUACAAAGUGGACUUUGCUUUUGGUGGCAGUAUCCCUUGUUGCCAUGUCAUUCACGGAGAAGAUGGGUUUAUCCUUGCGUUUAUUCUACUGGUACCAGCUGCUCUACACACAGGAACCAAAAGUGGCAAAUCUACAUCCUCUUUCAAUUUUCAAUUGAAGGUCUACACCACAGGAACUUCUUGGGGUUUUUGAAGAGGUAAAGAUUUUUAAAAAAAAAAAAAAAAAGCAAAAAAACAACAAAACACCACGUUGAACCCAAGUUGGAGAAACAACUGCAUCAUGUGCCUGAUACAGUGCAUGGGAGUACAAAGCAUUCCCAUUCCAUCUGGUCUUGCACAUCCACUCCCCCUAGCUAUUAAAUGUGAUAGCUGUUAGGCAUGAGUGUAGACCCGGAGAUGGGCAGGACUAGUCUGCCGUGCAAACAGUUAUCUGAUGGCCCCAUCCUAUUUUCUAGAAAAAAAAGAUUUCACUGUGAUAAAGUGGACAUCUUAAAGCAUUGUAGGAGAUAGGGGGAUGUAACUGCACUUAACCUGAGUUUGGAUUAGGCAUAUCUCACGUCUUAGAGUUUGCCAGUAAAUAACAAAGUAUAUGAUCAAUGGAAAUAUGACCUUCCCAAUCUGUAACUACAAAAAAGAAAAGGACAGUCUUGAAAAUCCAGCAAUCUUUCAAAUCAUCUUAAAGCGUAUUGACCCUGAAUCAUCACAGUGAAAUUCAAUAGGGGUGUUCCUAUUAGUGACCUAAGAAUAUAGAUGUGGUUGAAUGCAUGGAAAACUGUAUCUUGUUCCAGUUAUCUUUAUUACUGUAAUAAAUGAUACUAACUCCCUCUCCCUA
Molecule: long non-coding RNA, 1901 nt
Organism: Aquila chrysaetos chrysaetos
Lineage: Eukaryota; Metazoa; Chordata; Aves; Accipitriformes; Accipitridae
Exons: 7
Source: RefSeq, a predicted model, not a curated record